GUUAAGUUGGUUCUCGUGCUUAUUCUAUUUUGUAUCUGGAUUUACUUAAUUAAAAGACUUUUCUGUCAUCACCCUUGGUAUCGCUCCAUCUGCCUCAUCAACCUGUGACAGAAGAACGGACCUGAAGAAGAUGAACUGGGCUGAGGAUUUUCUCCUGGAAUUCCAGCAGGAGAGAAUGCCUUUGGAGCAGUAUGUGGAGGAGUUUCUGAGCCUGAUACAUCUGCAAAAAAGCAGUUACAACCCAAACCACCAGACCAACACCAGCACCACAUAUCCCUGAUGCAGCACCUGAAGAGAGAUGGGAAUCCAUAAUGAUAAAGAGAGACAGUCAUUAGUGUGAAUGUGUGUCUGAACAAACACUAUAAACAUCAGCACUACAUUACCUGAGUGAAGAUCUGUACCUGUAAUGAUAAAAAGAGACAGUCAUUAGUGUGACUGUUUGUCUGAUCUAACACUAGAAACAUCAGGAUCAUAUAACCUGAGUGAAGAUCUGCAUACUUCUUUGAGAAUGUCUAAUGUGCUGACAUCAAUUAGAUGCAUAGUGUUUAUUUCCUAUCUUCAUUGUUGACUGACCAUAGAUCUAAA
Sinocyclocheilus grahami is the source of this 585-nucleotide long non-coding RNA. RefSeq lists it as uncharacterized. The record is from RefSeq and is a predicted model, not a curated record. Lineage: Eukaryota; Metazoa; Chordata; Actinopteri; Cypriniformes; Cyprinidae. The transcript has 2 exons.